UCCCUGGUAGUAUAUCGGUUAGUACACGCGCUUGUCAUGAUCAAGGGGAUGGGACUGUACGCGCGAAAGCUGGGUUCGACUCCCAGCCAGGGAG
This is a non-coding RNA of Gymnopus androsaceus JB14, 94 nucleotides long. NCBI's taxonomy places the organism in Eukaryota, Fungi, Basidiomycota, Agaricomycetes, Agaricales, Omphalotaceae. The record is from the annotation of a GenBank genome assembly.